This 564-nucleotide unclassified non-coding RNA is filed under the name Hevea brasiliensis (rubber tree). Lineage: Eukaryota; Viridiplantae; Streptophyta; Magnoliopsida; Malpighiales; Euphorbiaceae. The record is from RNAcentral.
CGGGCGAUUUGCAUUACAUCAUCAGCAUUCUUAGUUACACUGUACUGUACCAUGAGUGAAUCAUCCCUCUUAUUUCCACCAGAUGUGCCAGUUUCAGACACAUCCAUAACUCUCCGGCCCAUAUCAUCAUCAUCAUCAUAACCUUCGUUGUCAGACAUUGAGACACCAGCCAACCCAACUUCAGUNNAUAAUACCAAUAUUCCCUCCACAUCUUUGAUGAUAGAUCGAGUGAAUCUGCUCUGGAAUUUGGUUAAAUUCUUCACAUUCUUCAACUUCAACAGCAGCAUCUCUAAUGUCUCUGAAUUGUUCAGCAGUAUCGGAUACAUCCAUUUCACGAGAUUUAACUUUUACCGCAUCUUCAGCAGCUUCUUGCACAGCUUUAAUUACAGUAGCCAUAGGAUUCGGAACUCUAGUAAUCGACUGAAUCCUCCUAGGAUGAUCAACUAAUGAUGAUUCUCCAGUGGAUGUAGACACCGCAGAACGAAGCCGCUUUAGUGAGGGCUCUUUUACCUGAGAAGACCUCAAAUUUCCUACAGCAUCUCGUACUGCAAAUUGAAGUAGUCG